Aegilops tauschii subsp. strangulata is the source of this 575-nucleotide long non-coding RNA. RefSeq lists it as uncharacterized. The record is from RefSeq and is a predicted model, not a curated record. Lineage: Eukaryota; Viridiplantae; Streptophyta; Magnoliopsida; Poales; Poaceae.
UUCUCUUGUUUUUCUUCCUCACACAGGCACCUGCACCACGAACUAUAUGCAAGGAGAGGAGUGAGGGUGCUGCUGGGAGAAAAUGGAAGAACGGGAUGCACCUGAGGAGCGAGGGGUUGACAUCUUGGUUCCUGCUUGACCGCGUUGCCUAUGGAUGGUGAGAAGGAGAAGGAAGGUGCUGCAAGUGCCAGGUUGGAUGGAUCACUGUACUGCUGUGCAACUUCCCCUAGCUUCACAUUGCAAGCCCAAUGAUUCUUGUGCCUAGGAUACCCACAUAACACAGUUAUCCUUGUUAUCCAUAUGGCCAACCAAGGUGCAUGGUGCUCACAAGUGACGAAUGGAGGUUGUUCAACAUAGGCACGGAGGAGGAGGAGGACGGGCACGGACGGAGGAGGACAGAGCACCUCUCUUCUUCUAGGUUAGUGAGCAGCAUCAGGAGGAGGAGCUCCAGCACGACCACCAAGAGGCACCAUCGCAGCAGCAGAUGAGUCCGUCGAUGAAGUGGCAGCGUCUCCUCUAGAGGGUGACGGUGGCGGCGGUGCCUGUGUGCGGCUUCGACUACAACCUCCUCUCCG